GAUGAAGAACGUAGCGAAAUGCGAUACGUAAUGUGAAUUGCAGAAUUCAGUGAAUCAUCGAAUCUUUGAACGCAUAUUGCGCUCUUUGGUAUUCCGAAGAGCAUGCUUGUUUGAGUAUCAGUAAACACCUCAAAGUCUUUUUUUCUUGAAGAAAAAGACCUUGGACUUGAGCAAUCCCAACUCUUCUUUCAGAAGAGGCGGGUUGCUUGAAAUGCAGGUGCAGCUGGACAUUCUCCUGAGCUAAAAGCAUAUUCAGUUAGUCCCGUCAAACGGAUUAUUACUUUUGCUGCAGCUAACAUAAAGGGAGUUUGACCAUUUUGGCUGACUGAUGCAGGAAUUUCACAAGAGUCUUCAAAACGCUCUUGUUAAACUCGAUCUCAAAUCAAGUAAGACUACCCGCUGAACUUAAGCAUAUCAAUAAGCGGAGGA
RNAcentral lists this unclassified non-coding RNA (429 nucleotides) under soil metagenome. RNAcentral's name for it is "partial contains 5.8S ribosomal RNA, internal transcribed spacer 2, and large subunit ribosomal RNA". The stretch from base 1 to 120 matches the Rfam family "5.8S ribosomal RNA", at positions 35 to 154 of the family's 154-position model. The record is from RNAcentral.